CAAUAGCGUAUAUUUAAGUUGUUGCAGUUAAAAAGCUCGUAGUUGGAUUUCGGGUGGGACGCAGCGGUCUCGCAUUGCGUUUGUACUGCUGCAGCCCUCCUUCUUGCCGGGGGCGGCCUCUCGGACUUCACUGUCUGGGGGUCAGAAUCGGCGAUGUUACUUUGAGUAAAUUAGAGUGUUCAAAGCAAGCUUACGCUCUGAAUAUAAUAGCAUGGGAUAACACGACAGGACUCUGGCCUAUCGUGUUGGUCUAUAGGACCAGAGUAAUGAUUAAGAGGGACAGUCGGGGGCAUUCGUAUUCCGUCGUCAGAGGUGAAAUUCUUGGAUUUACGGAAGACGAACAUCUGCGAAAGCAUUUGCCAAGGAUGUUUUCAUUGA
Molecule: ribosomal RNA, 378 nt
Filed under: uncultured eukaryote
Lineage: Eukaryota
Description: partial 18S ribosomal RNA
Rfam family: Eukaryotic small subunit ribosomal RNA
Source: RNAcentral